RNAcentral lists this small RNA (282 nucleotides) under Nomascus leucogenys (northern white-cheeked gibbon). RNAcentral's name for it is "Metazoan signal recognition particle RNA (ENSNLEG00000035390.1)". Lineage: Eukaryota; Metazoa; Chordata; Mammalia; Primates; Hylobatidae. The record is from RNAcentral.
GCCGGGCAUGGUGGCUCAUGCCUGUAAUCCUAGCACUUUGGGAGGCUGAGGUGGGCGGAUCACUUGAGAUCAGGAUUUCGAGACCAGACUGGCCAACAUGGUGAAAUCUUGGUCUCUAGUAAAUACACAAAAUUAGCUGGGCAUGGAGGCAGGCACCUAUAAUCCCAGCUACUUAGGAGGCUGAGGCACAAGAAUCGCUUGAAAAUGGGAGGCGGAGGCUGCAGUGAGCUGAGAUCAUGCUACUGCACUCCAGCCUGGGCAACAGAGUGAGACCCCAUCUCA